UGCCAGGGCCUGAGUUCCCUGGCGGAAGAGGCAGCGCGUGCGACCGAGAACCCGGAGCAGGUGGCGAGCGAGGGUCUCCCGGAGCCCGUGCUGCGCAAAGUCGAGCUCCCGGUACCCACUCAUCGACGCCCAGUGCAGGCCUGGGUCGAGUCCUUGCGGGGCUUCGAGCAGGAGCGCGUGGGCCUGGCCGACCUGCACCCCGAUGUUUUCGCCACCGCGCCCAGGUGAGCGAGGGCUGUAAUGGUGAACUGAGUGGCAGAGGGAUGAAGAGCGGGAUUUCAGGAGUCACGAUGACUUUGGGCUUGUACCCUUGGGAAAGUGCUGAAUUUCUACAGCCUCCGUUUCUCCACCUGUCAAAGGGGAACGAUGACAAAACUGUAGCGCUGUGUGAGAUUGAAGCCUGAGAGGUGACAUCAUCUAAGGGUUAGGGAGACAGAAUUCUGGAGCCCGACUGAUUAGGUUCAAAUCCUGCCUUCCCCUCUUGUCCCUCAGUGUCCCUAUUUUGUCAGCGGUCGGGAGGUUGCUGUCAUGAAUAAAUGACUUAA
RNAcentral lists this small RNA (545 nucleotides) under Pan troglodytes (chimpanzee). RNAcentral's name for it is "retained intron". Lineage: Eukaryota; Metazoa; Chordata; Mammalia; Primates; Hominidae. The record is from RNAcentral.